GGGGUUAGGGUUAGAGAUGGGUUUAGUGUUAGGGUUAGAGUUGGGGUUAGGGUUAGAGAUGGGGUUAGUGUUAGGGUUAGAGAUGGGGUUAGUGUUAGGGUUAGAGAUGGGGUUAGUGUUAGUGUUAGAGAUGGGGUUAGUGUUAGGGUUAGAGAUGGAGAUGGUGUUAGAGUUGGGGUUAGUGUUAGGGUUAGAGAUGGGUUAGUGUUAGGGUUAGAGAUGGGGUUAGAGUUAGGGUUAGAGAUGGGGUUAGUGUUAGUGUUAGAGAUGGGGUUAGUGUUAGGGUUAGAGAUGGGGUUAGAGUUAGGGUUAGAGAUGGGGUUAAUGUUAGGGUUAGAGAAGGGGUUAGAGAUGGUGUUAGAGUUGGGGUUGUGUUAGGGUUAGAGAUGGGGUUAGUGUUAGGGUUAGAGAUGGGGUUAGUGUUAGGGUUAGAGAUGGGGUUAGAGUUAGGGUUAGAGAUGGGGUUAGUGUUAGUGUUAGAGAUGGGGUUAGUGUUAGGGUUAGAGAUGGG
Molecule: long non-coding RNA, 511 nt
Organism: Ictalurus punctatus (channel catfish)
Lineage: Eukaryota; Metazoa; Chordata; Actinopteri; Siluriformes; Ictaluridae
Source: Ensembl